Molecule: transfer RNA, 85 nt
Filed under: Alteromonadaceae bacterium Bs31
Lineage: Bacteria; Pseudomonadati; Pseudomonadota; Gammaproteobacteria; Alteromonadales; Alteromonadaceae
Rfam family: tRNA
About the family: Transfer RNA (tRNA) molecules are approximately 80 nucleotides in length.
Source: Rfam by way of RNAcentral
GCCCGGGUGGUGAAAUUGGUAGACACAGGGGACUUAAAAUCCCCCGACCUUAACGGUCGUGCCGGUUCAAGUCCGGCCCCGGGCA